CGGGAUGUAGCGCAGCCUGGUUUAGCGCGCCUGCUUCGGGAGUAGGAGGUCGGGGGUUCGAAUCCCCCCAUCCCGACCA
Molecule: transfer RNA, 79 nt
Filed under: Candidatus Aerophobota bacterium
Lineage: Bacteria; Candidatus Aerophobota
Also listed under: 1 other name
Description: Candidatus Aerophobetes bacterium tRNA-Pro
Rfam family: tRNA
About the family: Transfer RNA (tRNA) molecules are approximately 80 nucleotides in length.
Source: RNAcentral